This 521-nucleotide ribosomal RNA is filed under the name uncultured Bacillus sp. Its description in RNAcentral is "bacterial SSU rRNA". It matches the Rfam family "Bacterial small subunit ribosomal RNA", at positions 406 to 918 of the family's 1533-position model. Lineage: Bacteria; Bacillati; Bacillota; Bacilli; Caryophanales; Bacillaceae. The record is from RNAcentral.
UGAUGAAGGUCUUCGGAUCGUAAAGCUCUGUUGUUAGGGAAGAACAAGUACCGGAGUAACUGCGGGUGCCUUGCCGGUACCUAACCAAAAAGCCCCGGCUAACUUCGUGCCAGCAGCCGCGGUAAUACCUAGGGGGCAAGCGUUGUUCGGAAUUAUUGGGCGUAAAGCGCGCGCAGGUGGUUUCUUAAGUCUGAUGUGAAAGCCCCCGGCUCAACCGGGGAAGGGCAUUGGAAACUGGGGAACUUGAGUGCGGAAAAGGAAAGUGGAAUUUCCCGUGUAGCGGUGAAAUGCGUAAAGAUGUGGAGGAACACCAGUGGCGAAGGCGACUUUCUGGGCCGUUACUGACACUGAGGCGCGAAAGCGUGGGGAGCCAACAGGAUUAGAUACCCUGGUAGUCCACGCCGUAAACGAUGACUGCUAAGUGUUGGAGGGUUUCCGCCCUUUAAUGCUGCACCUAACCCAUUAAUCACUCCCCCUGGGGAGUACCGCCCCAAGGUUUAAACUCAAAGGAAUUGACGGGG